GAAAAUGCCGCCGGGGCGGCGGAGCGGGGCCUUGGCUCUGCCCGCCCCUCCUGCCGCCCUCCCUGGAAUGGUUCGAGGCAUUAUGGGUUUAUUGAGAUGUCGUGGAUAUGCUGGCUGUUCUGAUGGAGGGCAGUGGUGGCUUAGAUGAGGAAUUGGGUUCUCUUUAAACGAAGACGUGGUUAUCCAAACAGUUCCUUGCAGUGCUGUUGUCCCUGCUGCAUUAGCAGCCAGGAAUAUGCUGUUGCUUCAGUCUGAAAAUGGAACAGAUGCAGAAGAAACAGCUAUGUAACAAGGUGCUAUGUGACACGUGCUGUGAAAUUCAUUAACUUGCCACUACCUGAUUAUUGCAAGCAAUGAAAAGCUAUCCAGCAGUUUGUCAGUUGAAGCAGAAGACAAUCCUUUGCACCGAUACGUACUCAUGUGCACAUGCUGAUCAGCUGAAGUGUUAAAGCUCAAGGUGAGUGCUCCAGCCUUUAAUCAAUGACCAGUCAUUGAUUUAGCACAUCCACAAGUUUCAGGAAGUAGUUCCUCCAUUGCAUCCAGCUUUUAGAGUACCUUUAGACACUAGAGAUACUUUUCAAUGUGUAAUUGAUUAGGUAAAUGGUCUCUUAAUAGCAUGUGCUAAAGAGAGAUGUGAAAAGCAGCUGAGCAAUAUUGCCACUUCUGGGGGUUACAGGUGGUGGAUACUAUUAGUCAGAACUGGAAAACACAGAACUGUGACCUUUUAUAAGUACUGAGCGAAACACUGAGUUACUGCUGGUCAAUUAAAAGCAGUUUGGGUGCCUAAUAGUUGUUUCUGAUGAUACUCAUACACAGAUGAGUGAGGAGCUACUUGAGGCAAUGUGUGUGCAGCUGUCCAGCCAGAACUGAAGCAGCCUCUGGUGAAGGUGAAUGCAGAGAGGCUUAUGUGGCAGAGGAGCUCAGCAGAUGACAGGGGGCUUGUCCACGGACUGAAAGAGGAGCUCGGGAUGGGUGUGGGGUAUUACAAAACAGCAGAUGUCACAGGGAUGGAGCAAAGGUUUAAAAUGGAAGGAAUCGGCCAUGAGAGAGUGAUGGCCAGAUGGAAAUCCAGCAAAGGCCCUGAAGUGGAAUUAUGUAAGGCAAACAUCAAUGAAAAUCAGCUGGGGAGCAAGAACAGCCAGCAGCUAGGCUUGUUUCUGGUCUCUUGCCAUAGAUGAGACAUGUUUUAGGGUGUGCAUGAUGACUAGAGGCUGUGAUAGCUUUAGCUGUAGCUCUUUUGUCUCCAGCCAUUGUGAGUAAGUUCUGUGCUUAGUUCUCUGCUCUGGUGCAUUGCAGGAUUUUUAGGGUAAAUAUUUUUUCCAUCAGUGUAACCCACCAAUUGCCAACAUCUCGAGGCAGCUGGAUGGGGUGGUGAAUAUGCCAUUCUUCCGCUGGUGGCUAUCAGAAACGCUUAAGAGGAAAAUUCCAUCUUUGUUCUACAUAGUGCUGUGCUAGCAAGUGCUUUCCAACAGGCUGUAAUUCCCAGAGCAGUGGGGCAGGAGCUGCUACAUGAUCCAGGAGCAGGCUCCCAUGUAGUGGGUUGGAUGCAAGGCACCCACCAAAGCCUCUCUUAACAUUCGCCUCCACAGCUGGACAGAGGAGAGAAAAUACAAAAAAGGGUUGAGAUAAGGACCAGGAGAGAUCGCUCGUCAGAUACUGUCACAGGCAAAAGAGAGUCUUAUUAGAGAUACUAAUUGAAUUCAUGGCUAAAUAGUCAGAGCAGGAUAAUGAGAAACAACAUAAAACCUUAAAAACAUCAUCUUCCCACACCCUCCUUCCCAGCUCUACCUCCUACCCCAGCUGUGCAGGGACACAGGCAAUGGGGGUGACAAUCAGUUCAUCAGGGAAAGCAGUCACUCCCCUGCUGCUCCAUGGGGUCUCUCCCAUGGGAGACAGUUCUCCAUGAACUUUUGCAGCAUGAGUCCGUCUCACAGGCAGCAGAUCCCUGUGAAUUACUGCAGUGUGAGUCCAUCCCACAGGCAACACUCCCCAUCACA
Lonchura striata (white-rumped munia) is the source of this 1997-nucleotide non-coding RNA. Lineage: Eukaryota; Metazoa; Chordata; Aves; Passeriformes; Estrildidae. The record is from RefSeq and is a predicted model, not a curated record.